This 340-nucleotide long non-coding RNA is filed under the name Coturnix japonica (Japanese quail). RNAcentral describes it as "lncRNA (ENSCJPG00005006803.1)". Lineage: Eukaryota; Metazoa; Chordata; Aves; Galliformes; Phasianidae. The record is from RNAcentral.
GCCUACUUCAUCCUGAACUGAGGGCUAUUGCUUCCUUUGCAGCACAAGAGUGAGCAGUUCUAGCUCUUCAGCUGCUGUGACGCAUCGGCAGAUAUAUAUUUGUGCAGAACUCUUUUGCCCUCACUAGAAAGCUGGAAACAGCCUUCCUUUAUGCAUAGCAGAGACUGAUCUUUCUUUCGGUGACAUGGCCCUAUGUCUUAUCCUGCAGCAGACUACCCUACAUGUGUUGCCCUGGCAUGAAAGUUUUUCAGGCAAUGGAGACUACUCUGCCUUGAAACAGGGGAGAGAAAACAACUGGAGAAAUAAUGGAAGAGGUGUUUACAGAGUAACCCAAAGCUGA